RNAcentral lists this ribosomal RNA (250 nucleotides) under uncultured bacterium. RNAcentral describes it as "partial 16S ribosomal RNA". It matches the Rfam family "Bacterial small subunit ribosomal RNA", at positions 524 to 773 of the family's 1533-position model. The record is from RNAcentral.
UACAGAGGGUGCAAACGUUGCUCGGAAUUAUUGGGCGUAAAGGGGAGGUAGGUUGUCCUGUUUGUCUGAAGUGAAAUCCCUGGGCUUAACCCAGGAAGUGCUUUAGAAACGGCAGGACUAGAGUUCUGGAGAGGGUCGUGGAAUUCCCGGUGUAGCGGUGAAAUGCGUAGAGAUCGGGAGGAACACCUGAGGCGAAAGCGACGACCUGGACAGAUACUGACACUCAACUCCGAAAGUGCGGGGAGCAAAC